This 76-nucleotide transfer RNA is filed under the name Loktanella sp. S4079. Its description in RNAcentral is "tRNA-Gln". It matches the Rfam family "tRNA". From Rfam's summary of the family: Transfer RNA (tRNA) molecules are approximately 80 nucleotides in length. The record is from RNAcentral. Lineage: Bacteria; Pseudomonadati; Pseudomonadota; Alphaproteobacteria; Rhodobacterales; Roseobacteraceae.
UGGAAGGUAGCUCAAUUGGCAGAGCACCGGUUUUUGGUACCGUAGGUUACAGGUUCGAAUCCUGUCCUUCCAGCCA